This 1932-nucleotide long non-coding RNA is filed under the name Heterocephalus glaber (naked mole-rat). Its description in RNAcentral is "lncRNA (ENSHGLG00100036215.1)". Lineage: Eukaryota; Metazoa; Chordata; Mammalia; Rodentia; Bathyergidae. The record is from RNAcentral.
GCCGGGGCGGAGCGGGGCCGGGGCGCGGGGUUCCGGCCGGGGGUCCCCGCGCGGCGCUCUCUGGGCUCCCGCCCGAGCUCCGGGAACCGAGCCCCGAGCCCCAGCCCCGUGCUUGGUGACGUCAGGCAGCUGUCCACGGAGUCUACGCAAAUGACUUGCAUAAUGAGGAAGCGACGGCCAAUCAGAGUGAGAGUUGACCGGGCUCGGCCGGGGGCGGGAGGGGCCGGCGGGCUCACGCGCUCCUGCUCGCCAUGGCAACCGGACCCUAGGCGGCCCGGUGAGAGCCGAGGGUGUGCGGGCGUGGCCGGGACCGCGGGAGGGGAAGGAGCUUCGUCAUCCGUGCCGCUCGCUGUCUGCGGGAGCCGGAGCUGAUCCCCUCGGCAUACGCGGGCACACGCGGGCACACACACCUCCAAUAGCUGGAGUGUUUUCUGCGGGGGCGGAUGGGGAUUCCUCUCUUCUUUCCCACUACGGUCCCUAGGAUGUGGAUCCUACCCCGCGCCAUCCAUCACGCUCCCUCAGCCUGAUGCCUUCAACCCCUUCCUCACCCCUGAACCACAUUCGUCUCCCCUAGACCCCUAGGAGAAAGAGUAAAGCAAGCAAACCCCUGGAGUGUUCCUUGACCACUUACUUCCUCCUCGGGAAGAUGAAGGAACUUUAUGUGAGCCAUAUUUGCUCAGCACCCGUCACGCACCAGGUGUCCGGCUCACCCCAAUUCUGUACACUCAAGCGUUAUCCUUCUCCAGAAAAGAGAGCUGAGGUUCCGUCGGUCGAGGAGGUGAGGACCAGACCCGCCUUUGACAUUUGCUGUGCCCAGGACAAAGAUAAAAUGGAAUUCUACAUACCAGACACUGCCCAAGAGACAGGCCUGGUUUGUCACUAACCAGGUCUCCAGAGAGCAUGACUGAGGGAGACAGGAUGCUGCUGAAGGACCAGGUUUUCCUCAUAUGCCUUCUCUAAGCUUCUGAGACAAAGGCCGAGGACUUCUCCACCGUCACAGCCCCAGACCAGGAAAAAGAAUGUAAUAAUGGCCAAUGAAAUAUUCAUUCCAGACUGAUGCUGUAUACCACCGUCUCAAUCGCCGGGUUACAUUAUUGCUUCUGAACAGAAGAGCAGCAGGGGUAGUCUGGGACCACAGUGAGUCAUUUCUCCCUGGAGAAAGCUGGUCGUCAUUGCCCUGCUCCCAGGGCCUCUGCUGUCAUGGCGUCAGCUGUGCCACCCAGACUGGGACACGUGAGGCUGACAACGGGGUAGGAGGCGGCAGAAGCUGGCUGUAUUAUUUCAGGUGCUCGGACCUUGGGAAGUGCUCAGGAACAUUUAAAGAGUGGUUGAUAUGACAACCGGAAGCAGGGAGAUGAACCUUUGCAAAUGAGAAGGGGAUAUGAAAUGGAGGGAAGGAGGGAAAGGGAUGUAAACUGAAAUAAAGUGUGUCAUGUGCGCGGUCUGCCUCCCCAUGAUGAAUGUGAUCAGUGUGUACUGCAAACAUGUGCUGAGGAGAAUUUUUUAAAUAGUGGCUGAGUGAAAGAAACAGUAGCAAAAAGGAAAAAGAAUACAGUUCUAGGGGAAGGGUGUGAGUACCCAUAGAGGGGCUGGAGCCUCGGCCAUUGCUCAGAAUUCCUUCAGACCCCUGCGAUGCCCCUUCCAUAUACAGCAGCCUUGCAGGUAGGAUUCAACAGUACAGCGACCAGGCUGAGGAUGAGCGGGUGAGGAGAGACCUAGCAAAGCACAGGCUAAGGACAAGAGCACAGUACCUGCCUGGCAAGUGAGAGAUCCUGAGUUCGAUCCCCAGCACCAAAAAAAAAAAAAAAGAAGCAGCACAGAGACCAGGUAAGGUGCUGUAACCCCAGCACUUUUGAGGCUGAAGUAGGAAGAUCACCGUGAGUUCAAGGCCAGCCUGGGCUACACAGUAAGUUCAGUGAGUGGCCAACCUGA